GUGCCAGCAGCCGCGGUAAUACGUAGGUGGCAAGCGUUGUCCGGAUUUAUUGGGCGUAAAGCGAGCGCAGGCGGUUCUUUAAGUCUGAUGUGAAAGCCCCCGGCUCAACCGGGGAGGGUCAUUGGAAACUGGAGAACUUGAGUGCAGAAGAGGAGAGUGGAAUUCCACGUGUAGCGGUGAAAUGCGUAGAUAUGUGGAGGAACACCAGUGGCGAAGGCGACUCUCUGGUCUGUAACUGACGCUGAGGCUCGAAAGCGUGGGGAGCAAACAG
This 271-nucleotide ribosomal RNA is filed under the name uncultured Carnobacteriaceae bacterium. RNAcentral describes it as "partial 16S ribosomal RNA". It matches the Rfam family "Bacterial small subunit ribosomal RNA", at positions 505 to 775 of the family's 1533-position model. The record is from RNAcentral. Lineage: Bacteria; Bacillati; Bacillota; Bacilli; Lactobacillales; Carnobacteriaceae.